CGCCGGGAGCUGUGCGGCAGGAAUUUGGUGAACCCCGCCAGGGCCGGAAGGCAGCAACGGUAAUCAGAGGACUGGGCGACGCAGUAUUCCCGGCGCUU
Molecule: signal recognition particle RNA, 98 nt
Filed under: Armatimonadota bacterium
Lineage: Bacteria; Bacillati; Armatimonadota
Also listed under: 1 other name
Description: Armatimonadetes bacterium signal recognition particle sRNA small type
Rfam family: Bacterial small signal recognition particle RNA
About the family: The signal recognition particle (SRP) is a universally conserved ribonucleoprotein involved in the co-translational targeting of proteins to membranes. Archaeal SRP consists of a 7S RNA and homologues of the eukaryotic SRP19 and SRP54 proteins.
Source: RNAcentral